Erinaceus europaeus (western European hedgehog) is the source of this 308-nucleotide non-coding RNA. The record is from Rfam. NCBI's taxonomy places the organism in Eukaryota, Metazoa, Chordata, Mammalia, Eulipotyphla, Erinaceidae.
GAAUGUGAGGGCCAUCUGGCUGUGACAUCUGUCACCUCAUUGAUCGCCAGGGUUGAUUUGACUGAUCUGGCUGGAUAGGUGGGUAUCCCUUUCCUCCCUCACCACUUCAUGUGUGUCCCUCUCAUAGCUGCAUGUUUCUCUGAAUAAAGAUGGACCAGGCUUUGGUUGAGGGUAUAUGAGUAGCUGUGCUUCCCUGCUAGAACCUCUAAACAGUUUCUCAAAGCAAACUAUACAAAAUAAAUGGGUUUAAACUAUCUUUGACCAUGAACUAUAGUAAAAAAUGAUAUCUUCAAUAAAUUUUUUAUUAU